UUGGGGCUCCUUGAGCCCCAAGGCAAGGUCCCCCCUCUCCCACCUAUAUAUACGGAGGUUUUAGGGCUGAUUUGAGACGACUUUUCCACGGCAGCCCGACCACAUACCUCCACGGUUUUUCCUCUAGAUCGCGUUUCUGCGAAGCUCGGGCGGAGCCCUGUUGAGACGAGAUCAUCACCAACCUCCGGAGCGCCGUCACGCUGCCGGAGAACUCUUCUACCUCUCCGUCUCUCUUGCUGGAUCAAGAAGGCCGAGAUCAUCGUCGAGCUGUACGUGUGCUGAACGCGGAGGUGCCGUCCGUUCGGCACUAGAUCGUGGGACUGUUCGCGGGAUAGUUCGCGGGGCGGAUCGAGGGACGUGAGGACGUUCCACUACAUCAACCGCGUUCACUAACGCUUCUGCUGUACAGUCUACAAGGGUACGUAGAUCACUCAUCCCCUCUCGUAGAUGGACAUCACCAUGAUAGGUCUUCAUGCGCGUAGGAAAUUUUUUGUUUCCCAUGCAACGUUCCCCAACAAUCAAUACGCGUGACCCCCUAGAAGAUCGAUCAUCUUCACAGCCCUCUUGUGUUUGCGAUAGUUCACUAUUAUUUACUAUGAUGAAGCCCAAAGAGUUGUUAGAAGAUCAUUGACACCCAUAGCCGAUUGAUUAUCAGAACUUUGUACAAAGCUACAUAAUGCCGUCAACGAACUAAAUCGGAGCAACACUCGAGGGAAUCAUAGCAAGAACAUCGAACCCUCACAUCCAUAUGUGAUCUAGAUGAAAACAUGUACCUACUAGAACCGCUCAUGAUGCUACUAUUGGGUAAGGUAGUAGAAAACAAAAAUAAUCACCCUACGAUCAACCCGGAACACUAUGAAGAUGCAAUAACGGUUAGGAUCGUAUUGUUACCAUCUCUAAGUUGCAGCAGAAAAAGAAGAGUCGGUGUAUAUCAUACUUGGAGUCCCUCGAAUCGUCGACGAAUGAUCCCUCGAAUGUAAGACCAAAACCAUGGCCUCUCCACACGUUGCAAGCAUAUGGUCUUCACGAUCCCGUAGCACUUCACCAUCUAGAGUUAAUCAUCACUGGAGAAUUAGAGGGAGGAAGUUAGAACCAAACUCGACUUCUAAUUAUAAGGAAUAGAGGAUCUAGGUCUAGAUCUAGUUAGAUCAACUAGGAUCAUCUAGAACUGCAACUAGAGAACUAGAGGAGGCUCCAAAAACUUGUGUCCAAAAAGGGGCCAAAACCUCCACUUCCUCUAUACAAUAAUGCUUGUUGUUGGGGAGAACUAGUCUAGUUCUCCCCAACAAAAAGUAUUUAGGAACAGAGGGAGCAGUAUAUAUAUGUGGGACGAGAGGGAGGGGCGCCAGACAAGGGGAGUCUCCCCCCUUUGGAUGGUCAAUAGGAGGGGGUUCCCUUUCCGAUUCGGCCUCCCGUUGCUCCUUUCCAUGGGAGAGGGGGCGCCACCCCUAUGAGGCCCUUGUGGCCAAGUUGCCUUCCACCACUUGGCCUUCUAGGGCCAGUUGAUAUUAAAUGAAAUACGAAAGCCUCCUAACAAUUACUAUAGCCUUUUAGUAUUAAUUUAACAUCUCCGAAAACAUUUUCCACCUAUAUAUUAUUCAUCGAUAAUACCCGGUAUUGUCUGAUAGUCUCUGAAAUCCUUCCGGUGACACCAGAACACUUCGAGAUACUCUCGAAACUAUUUUGAAUAUUAAUGAAACAAUUUCACAAAUAUAUUAUCAUCACUUUGUCCUACUAACACUCGGCAGGUCGUGAUUACCUAAGCUUGUAACCCUAUAGGUUCGGUAAAACAUAGACAUGAACGAAAACUCGUACCAUUCAGUGAUUGCUAGCGAAACAAUGGACAUCCACAUCGAUCCCUAUGAGUACAUGAAUGGCAUUCAAGUGAAUCAUUGGUUAUUGUGUGUUGCUUUCUUUGCUUCGCGAUACUUUAUAAAACUCGAGAUGGGAUAUAUCGGUAUCCUCUUGAGUCAUACACAUGCUCACUCUACCAGUCUCCGUGUUACCAUUUUGCUCUUCUUUCUCGUUGAUGUGUUCUGCUAUCCCCGUGACAUAGUCACCUAUGUCUGGCCAGAUAGUGUUGGAUGUCGUCACACUGAGAGGGCCCUAAGAAUAUCUCUUCAUUGCCGGAGGAGCAAAAUCCACUCUUGAGUUAUCUAGUCGCUUGUCAAACUUUUCGAUGAACGUGUAAGUUGUCGUUAUGAUCACCAUGUUACAGAUGACGUCUAAGCAACCUCCAAGCUCAUCGUAUGGUAGGAAGUGACUACAAUAUUCUCAUGGUAUAAGUAACUAAAUCACACAUUAACUCUCCGUGUUAUAACAAUUCACUUCUGAUGAUAUUAUCUCAAAGUAUAACAAACAAGUCUGGAUCGAUUCAAUAUGGUCAUUUUUCUAAUGUAAUAAUCUCAAAGUUCUUUUAUGAUCAUCGUUACACUUUAGCGUUAUCCUAAGAUCUAGAAAACGUGAUCACCAACCACACUUGAGAUAGUCUUAGAGGCGAGACUAGGAAUUUUAUUUUGUCGUUUAUCAUUCCACACGUAAUCGCACAUUCCUGGAUCAUAGUUGUUAUAGCAUUGAUUAUAAACUCUUAAUUAUAAAUAUAAAAAUAUAAUAAUACAAUAUUAUUGCCUCUGGGAAAUUUUUUCAACACUCUGACUUUGGUGUGGUUGGUUACUGCACUACUGCACGCCUAUAGUAACAUCUUCCCAACUCGUGUGUGCUCUUGGUUCCCUGGCUCGCCAUGCACGAGUUUGCGUACCUUGCUAAUGCACCAUGCGGCCCAACUCGCAAAAUAUUGUUCGCGGUUAGACAAGGUUGGCAUGCAGCUCCGACAGCCUUCCCCUUGCAGCAUCGGAGAUGCCCCAUGUUGUUCUCGCAGUAGCGGCCUUGGCCAGCUCACCCCCGACCAGCCUUUGCCAUUUGCGGCAGCUCGGAUAAAAUCAGGAGGGAAGAGGGCGCGAGGGAUGUGGAGAAGACACGUGUUGGUACAGUUCCAUGGAAGAUCGAUGAUGGGAGCAACGGAGCAACAUCACAGACUAGGGAUUGGUUAGAUGGACCGACAAACAGAUAUUAAUGAGAGAAGAAAGACAUACAUAAAAAAUGAAUGGACGAGAGGUCAUAGUGAAGAUAAGAAAGAGUGGAGAUAGGAUUUGUAGGGCCGUAACGUGUGUCGCAAGGACGAGCUUCCAUGGACUAUAGCUUUGCCGG
Molecule: long non-coding RNA, 3207 nt
Filed under: Hordeum vulgare
Lineage: Eukaryota; Viridiplantae; Streptophyta; Magnoliopsida; Poales; Poaceae
Description: long non-coding RNA (HVUL_LNC010870)
Source: RNAcentral